Molecule: long non-coding RNA, 554 nt
Organism: Daucus carota subsp. sativus
Lineage: Eukaryota; Viridiplantae; Streptophyta; Magnoliopsida; Apiales; Apiaceae
Exons: 2
Source: RefSeq, a predicted model, not a curated record
UUGUUCAAUAAGUGUUGAUAUCUAUAUUUACGUUCAUUUGGCUUUAUAUCUAUACUGCCCAGCAAGACUAAUUUAAGACAGGGAGAUUGCAGAUAUUGCAAAAUGGAUUCCUAAACUCAAAUUCGGUGAAAGUGUAAAUUCUGUAAUGUGCUGUGUUAAAUGAUGGGAAACCGGCACCUCAAGCAGUUGCAACUGGAUAAGCAAGUUUGCCUCAAAGUUUAAUGGACUGGAGUUUGAUUGAUUCCUUGACGUGGCCAAUUUUUACAGCCGGAUAUAUGAUGAUGAUGGGGUAUACUGAGGGGCCUAAAUGGAAAGGGUUUUACGUGGAUGAUUCUCCUGAUACAUCUACGUGGCUUUACUAAGUCGACUAAAGCAGGAGUAUGAGCAUGAUCUAAUCCAAAAUGACCUACCAGAUGUCUUGCAAAGGCAUAUGGAUGGCCAAUAUAGGUAAUAUAUUCUACUUUAUUUAUUAGACAUUCUUUUAUGUUUGAAAGUAUGUUCAUGUAAUUAUUUUGGACUUAAGGCAAAAAAUAUAGCAUGCAUCCUUGGUGACU